Molecule: ribosomal RNA, 253 nt
Filed under: uncultured bacterium
Lineage: Bacteria
Description: partial 16S ribosomal RNA
Rfam family: Bacterial small subunit ribosomal RNA
Source: RNAcentral
UACGUAGGGCGCAAGCGUUGUCCGGAAUUAUUGGGCGUAAAGAGCUCGUAGGCGGCUUGUCACGUCGGGUGUGAAAGACCGGGGCUUAACCCCGGUUCUGCAUUCGAUACGGGCUGGCUAGAGUGUGGUAGGGGAGAUCGGAAUUCCUGGUGUAGCGGUGAAAUGCGCAGAUAUCAGGAGGAACACCGGUGGCGAAGGCGGAUCUCUGGGCCACUACUGACGCUGAGAAGCGAAAGCAUGGGGAGCGAACAGG